UUCCAGACUCCUACGGGAGGCAGCAGCGGGGAAUAUUGGGCAAUGGGCGCAAGCCUGACCCAGCAACGCCGCGUGAAGGAAGAAGGCUUUCGGGUUGUAAACUUCUUUUCUCAGGGACGAAGCAAGUGACGGUACCUGAGGAAUAAGCCACGGCUAACUACGUGCCAGCAGCCGCGGUAAUACGUAGGUGGCAAGCGUUAUCCGGAUUUACUGGGUGUAAAGGGCGUGUAGGCGGGAAAGCAAGUCAGAUGUGAAAUUCCAGGGCUCAACCCUGGAACUGCGUUUGAAACUGUUCUUCUUGAGUGAUGGAGGGGCAGGCGGAAUUCCUGGUGUAGCGGUGAAAUGCGUAGAUAUCAGGAGGAACACCGGUGGCGAAGGCGGCCUGCUGGACUGCAACUGACGUUGAGGCCCGAAAGCGUGGGGAGCAAACAGGAUUAGAUACCCUCGUA
RNAcentral lists this ribosomal RNA (449 nucleotides) under uncultured bacterium. RNAcentral describes it as "bacterial SSU rRNA". It matches the Rfam family "Bacterial small subunit ribosomal RNA", at positions 329 to 792 of the family's 1533-position model. The record is from RNAcentral.